RNAcentral lists this long non-coding RNA (876 nucleotides) under Olea europaea (common olive). Its description in RNAcentral is "long non-coding RNA (OEUR_LNC008665)". The record is from RNAcentral. Lineage: Eukaryota; Viridiplantae; Streptophyta; Magnoliopsida; Lamiales; Oleaceae.
UUGGUUCAUAAAGUCUCAUUCACAAACAAGUUACUGUAAUCUGAUUUAGAGAAUGAAAAUUACAUUAAAAAAAAAAUUGACCAAUAGGAAUUCCUUAAAUAAAGAUAAUUAUCCAGUGAGGGGCCAUGAGUGGGUUUUGUUUCUCUGUCGAUGGCCGUCUUAUUCUCAUCCAGUAAUUAAGGACUUAGGGCCCAUACUGGUUUAUUGCACGUGACAGAUCCAGCUAAGCUUUUCCCAAAGUCGUCAAUAGUCUUUUUCUCUGCCCACUUGCCCGCAUUACACUGGCCGCGAAAGCACCUUGCGCCCAUUUUCGCGUCAACUGAGAGUCGCGUCUAAAGCUUACUAUAAUAAUUGAAGACUUAUUUUUGUAAAUAUUGUUGGAGAAAUUAUAUCAAUAUUGUGCAUAUUAUAUUCACAAAAAUCAUAUCGUUUAUUUGCAUGAAAUCGAAACAUAAUUUCAACUUACCGAAAUAGAUAUGGGAGGAUAAAACGACAAAUUCAAUCAUUUCCAUUCUUUAUUUCAAAUCUAUAUGAAAUCAAAAGAAUGUUAUUAAUUUUCUAAAAUCAAAUACAAAGGAAGAAAUCAGAAAGAAUUAAGAAAAGAUGCGAGUGAUGCGAUUGGUUGAGGCAAGUGAUGGACACUUUGUCCUUAAAAUGAAUUUGCCCCGUAUCGGUGCUAACGGUUUUUCAACAACCAUCUCCUAAGAUACAACGACCACGUCGAGUCAUAGGAGUACUCCAAAUGGUUUAGACCAACGAACUCGAACGGGGUUCCCUCUCUGCCAAAAUCACAACUUUGAUGCAAAUGUUUUAUGCAAAAUCAAAGUGUAAGAUAAAAUAGAAUGAUAUAGAAUUAUGAAUUGAGUUUCUUUUUUU